UAGGGAAUCUUCGGCAAUGGGGGGAACCCUGACCGAGCAACGCCGCGUGAGUGAAGAAGGUUUUCGGAUCGUAAAGCUCUGUUGUUAAGGAAGAACGAGUGUGAGAAUGGAAAGUUCAUACUGUGACGGUACUUAACCAGAAAGGGACGGCUAACUACGUGCCAGCAGCCGCGGUAAUACGUAGGUCCCGAGCGUUGUCCGGAUUUAUUGGGCGUAAAGCGAGCGCAGGCGGUUAGAUAAAUCUGAAGUUAAAGGCAGUGGCUCAACCAUUGUAGGCUUUGGAAACUGUUUAACUUGAGUGCAGAAGGGGAGAGUGGAAUUCCAUGUGUAACGGUGAAAUGCGUAGAUAUAUGGAGGAACACCGGUGGCGAAAGCGGCUCUCUGGUCUGUAACUGACGCUGAGGCUCGAAAGCGUGGGGAGCGAACAGG
RNAcentral lists this ribosomal RNA (429 nucleotides) under Bacteroidota bacterium. Its description in RNAcentral is "Bacteroidetes bacterium partial 16S ribosomal RNA". It matches the Rfam family "Bacterial small subunit ribosomal RNA", at positions 355 to 776 of the family's 1533-position model. Lineage: Bacteria; Pseudomonadati; Bacteroidota. The record is from RNAcentral.